GAUGAACGCUGGCGGCGUGCCUAAUACAUGCAAGUCGAGCGAACGGACGAGAAGCUUGCUUCUCUGAUGUUAGCGGCGGACGGGUGAGUAACACGUGGAUAACCUACCUAUAAGACUGGGAUAACUUCGGGAAACCGGAGCUAAUACCGGAUAAUAUUUUGAACCGCAUGGUUCAAAAGUGAAAGACGGUCUUGCUGUCACUUAUAGAUGGAUCCGAGCUGCAUUAGCUAGUUGGUAAGGUAACGGCUUACCAAGGCAACGAUGCAUAGCCGACCUGAGAGGGUGAUCGGCCACACUGGAACUGAGACACGGUCCAGACUCCUACGGGAGGCAGCAGUAGGGAAUCUUCCGCAAUGGUCGAAAGCCUGACGGAGCAACGCCGCGUGAGUGAUGAAGGUCUUCGGAUCGUAAAACUCUGUUAUUAGGGAAGAACAGAUGUGUAAGUAACUGUGCACAUCUUGACGGUACCUAAUCAGAAAGCCACGGCUAACUACGUG
This 497-nucleotide ribosomal RNA is filed under the name uncultured bacterium. RNAcentral describes it as "partial 16S ribosomal RNA". It matches the Rfam family "Bacterial small subunit ribosomal RNA", at positions 28 to 507 of the family's 1533-position model. The record is from RNAcentral.